CAAGUCGAACGAGAAGCUAACUUCUGAUUCCUUCGGGAUGAUGAGGUUAGCAGAAAGUGGCGAACGGGUGAGUAACGCGUGGGUAAUCUACCCUGUUAAGUGGGGGAUAACCCUCCGAAAGGAGGGCUAAUACCGCAUAAUAUCUUUAUCCCAAAAGAGGUAAAGAUUAAAGAUGGCCUCUAUACUAUGCUAUCACUUCAGGAUGAGCCUGCGUCCUAUUAGUUAGUUGGUGGGGUAAUGGCCUACCAAGACCACAAUGGGUAGCCGGUCUGAGGGGAUGUACGGCCACACUGGGACUGAGAUACGGCCCAGACUCCUACGGGAGGCAGCAGUGGGGAAUAUUGCGCAAUGGGGGAAACCCUGACGCAGCGACGCCGCGUGGAUGAUGAAGGCCCUUGGGUUGUAAAAUCCUGUUCUGGGGGAAGAAAGCUUAAAGGUCCAAUAAACCCUUAAGCCUGACGGUACCCCAAGAGAAAGCUCCGGCUAAUUAUGUGCCAGCAGCCGCGGUAAUACAUAAGGAGCAAGCGUUAUCCGGAAUUAUUGGGCGUAAAGAGC
This 555-nucleotide ribosomal RNA is filed under the name uncultured Atribacterota bacterium. RNAcentral describes it as "bacterial SSU rRNA". It matches the Rfam family "Bacterial small subunit ribosomal RNA", at positions 58 to 568 of the family's 1533-position model. Lineage: Bacteria; Pseudomonadati; Atribacterota. The record is from RNAcentral.